This 23-nucleotide non-coding RNA is filed under the name Cricetulus griseus (Chinese hamster). The record is from RNAcentral. Lineage: Eukaryota; Metazoa; Chordata; Mammalia; Rodentia; Cricetidae.
CUGGAUAUAUAGACUAGGCUGCC